This 468-nucleotide ribosomal RNA is filed under the name uncultured bacterium. RNAcentral's name for it is "partial 16S ribosomal RNA". It matches the Rfam family "Bacterial small subunit ribosomal RNA", at positions 28 to 507 of the family's 1533-position model. The record is from RNAcentral.
GAUGAACGCUGGCGGCGUGCUUAACACAUGCAAGUCGAGCGGAAGGGCCCUGCUCUUGCUGGGCGCUCGUGUGGCGAACGGGUGAGUGACACGCGAGUAUCCUGCACUUGAAUUUGGGAUAACUUCAGGGAACAGGGGCUCAUACCGGGUAGGAUCUCCUGCUGCAUGUGGGGGGAAGGUGAGUGCCGGUGGUGGGGGAUGGUUUCGCGGCUUAUGAGCUUGAUGGUGGGGUAGUGGCAUACCAAGGGUUUGACGGGUAGGCGGCAUGAGAGCGUGACCGGCGACAAUAGGACUGAGGUACGGACCAGACUCCUACGGGACGCAGCAGGGGAGAGUAUUACACAAUGGGGGGGCGCCUGAUACAGCAGCGCUGGGUGCGGGAUGCCCGGCUUCGAGUGAUAAACCGAUUUCGAAGGUGACGAAGCGAGAGUGACGGUAACGGGUAAAGAAGCAACGGCUAACUACGUG